RNAcentral lists this ribosomal RNA (484 nucleotides) under Litomosoides odilae. RNAcentral describes it as "partial small subunit ribosomal RNA". The record is from RNAcentral. Lineage: Eukaryota; Metazoa; Nematoda; Chromadorea; Rhabditida; Onchocercidae.
CGGCUAUACAUUUUAAUAUUUAACUCUAUUUAUUGUUGUAUCUUCUGUUAUUUUGGGUUUUUAUUCUAUUUUUGUAAAAUGUUUUAGUUUUUUGAUGUGUUUUGAAGAUAUAUAAAAUUUGGUGUUUGAACUGGAUUAGUACCCAGGUAAUCAAAAUUUAUUAAUUCGGGAGUAAAGUUUGGUUUAAACCGAAAAAAUAUUGACUGACUUUGGAUUUUUCUUUGGAAUAUGUGAUUUUGGAUAGUCCUCCUUAUUAGUUAAUUUUGUUGGCACAUGUAUGAUUGUUUAGUUUUUAUUAUGUUUGUGAUGCUGUUAUGAUUUUUAUUUUAAAACAGAUAUAUAUUUGGCUUAUAAAUUAAUUUUCAUGUGUUACUAUUAUUAAUUUUUUUUUUUGGAUAUUUACUAAAUGGUUUUUUUGAAAUUGGAAAAGAAAGUAAUUGAUUUUUUAUGUUUGGAUGAAUUUAAUAAAUGAAGUGGUACAAAC